RNAcentral lists this ribosomal RNA (448 nucleotides) under uncultured bacterium. RNAcentral describes it as "partial 16S ribosomal RNA". It matches the Rfam family "Bacterial small subunit ribosomal RNA", at positions 29 to 523 of the family's 1533-position model. The record is from RNAcentral.
AUGAACGCUGGCGGCAUGCCUAACACAUGCAAGUCGAACGAAGCCUUCGAGCUUAGUGGCGCACGGGUGCGUAACGCGUGGGAAUCUGCCCUUAGGUACGGAAUAACUCAGGGAAACUUGUGCUAAUACCGUAUGAUGUCGCGAGACCAAAGCUUUAUCGCCUAGGGAUGAGCCCGCGUUGGAUUAGCUAGUUGGUGAGGUAAAGGCUCACCAAGGCGACGCUCCAUAGCUGGUCUGAGAGGAUGAUCAGCCACACUGGGACUGAGACACGGCCCAGACUCCUACGGGAGGCAGCAGUGGGGAAAAUUGAACAAUGGGCGAAAGCCUGAACGAGCAAAGCCGCGUGAGUGAAGAAGGCCUUCGGGUUGUAAAGCUCUUUUACCCGGGAAGAUAAUGACUGUACCGGGAGAAUAAGCCCCGGCUAACUCCGUGCCAGCCGCCGCGGUAA